ACGCACGGCGCAACACGGAGUACCUGGAUACAGCCCUUAGCUACGGUAUACAGGCCAUAUACCACAAACCCCUGCUGUGCUUUAUUGCUUUUACAAACCAGUUGCCAAGACAGCAAGGCAAGGAACGACACAUCUAAAUGGAAAAUGUUGCAGGGGGGUACCGGUACAGAGUCAAUGUGGAGGCUAUAUACAGGAGGUACCGGUACAGAGUCAAUGUGGAGGCUAUAUACAGGGGGUACCGGCACAGAGUCAAUGUGGAGGCUAUAUACAAUGGGGUACCGGUACAGAGUCAAUGUGGAGACUAUAUACAGGGGGUAUCGGUACAGAGUCAAUGUGGAGGCUAUAUACAGGGGGUACCGGUACAGAGUCAAUGUGGAGGCUAUAUACAGGGGGUACCAGUACAGAGUCAAUGUGGAGGCUAUAUACAGGGGGUACCAGUACAGAGUCAAUGUGGAGGCUAUAUACAGGGGGUACCAGUACAGAGUCAACAUGCGGACGCCCCUUUUAGUCAGUCUAAUUGAGGUAAUAUGUACAAUACAUAGUUAGUAUAGUUAAAGUGACUAUGCAUAGAUGUGACCAGCAGCCAGUGCCAUUUAUCAAGUGGUUUAAGCUGAAUGAUUCACUGGGCUGAGACUAUAGGACAAAGAAAGAUCCUCUCUGGCCUAACGCAGGUCUCUCUCCUCUCUGGCCUACUGCAGGUCUCUCUCCUCUCUGGCCUACUGCAGAUAUCUCUCCUCUCUGGCCUUCUACAGGUCUCUCUCCUCUCUGGGUUACUGCAGGUCUCUCUCCUCUCUGGCUUACUGCAGGUCUCUCUCCUCUCUGGCCUACUGCAG
This is a long non-coding RNA of Oncorhynchus tshawytscha (Chinook salmon), 833 nucleotides long. Lineage: Eukaryota; Metazoa; Chordata; Actinopteri; Salmoniformes; Salmonidae. The record is from Ensembl.